RNAcentral lists this ribosomal RNA (441 nucleotides) under Monodonta confusa. RNAcentral describes it as "partial 16S rRNA". It matches the Rfam family "Bacterial large subunit ribosomal RNA", at positions 1940 to 2540 of the family's 2925-position model. Lineage: Eukaryota; Metazoa; Mollusca; Gastropoda; Trochida; Trochidae. The record is from RNAcentral.
CCCUAACCGUGCAAAGGUAGCAUAAUCAUUUGCCUUUUAAUUGGAGGCUUGUAUGAAUGGUUUGACGAGGGCUAAGCUGUCUCUUUUAAAAUAUUUAGAAAUUAACUUUUAGGUGAAGAGGCCUAAAUUUGGCUGAGGGACAAGAAGACCCUGUUGAGCUUUAGUUUUAUGCUAAAUGGAUUAUUAUGAUAUUUGUAAUAAGCGUGGACCUAGGUGUAAUGGGAUUUUAGUAUGAAUCUUUAGUUGGGGCGACUGAGGAACAACUAGAGCUUCCUUUGGUUUAGAAGGGCAAGUAGUGUGCCGGAAAAUGGUGUAUUCUUGCAGGUUGUUUUGAUCCAGUAGAAUACUGAUUAAAGGAAAAAGUUACCACAGGGAUAACAGCGUAAUCUUUCUGGAGAGAUCUUAUCGAAAGGAGGGUUUGCGACCUCGAUGUUGGACUAA